This 48-nucleotide transfer RNA is filed under the name Unionicola parkeri. Its description in RNAcentral is "tRNA-Arg". Lineage: Eukaryota; Metazoa; Arthropoda; Arachnida; Trombidiformes; Unionicolidae. The record is from RNAcentral.
AGUUAAAUUUAAGGAAUUUCGAAUUCUUUUUAGCUUUGGCUUUAGCUU